GACCUGACACGAUUCCUGUAUCAGGUCUAGGGGAAUGGCUCUUGUGGAGAGCCGUGCGCUAAAAGUUGGCAUUAUGCAGGCAUGGAUCGCCUUGCCUAUUAAUCGUAGUGCAUCUGUGGCGUUUUGCCAGU
This 131-nucleotide small RNA is filed under the name Edwardsiella tarda ATCC 23685. Lineage: Bacteria; Pseudomonadati; Pseudomonadota; Gammaproteobacteria; Enterobacterales; Hafniaceae. The record is from RNAcentral.